GUAGGUGGCAAGCGUUGUCCGGAAUUAUUGGGGCGUAAAGCGCGCGCAGGCGGUUCUUUAAGUCUGAUGUGAAAGCCCACGGGCUCAACCGUGGAGGGCCAUUGGAAACUGGAGAACUUGAGUACAGAAGAGGAAAGCGGAAUUCCACGUGUAGCGGUGAAAUGCGUAGAGAUGUGGAGGAACACCAGUGGCGAAGGCGGCUUUCUGGUCUGUAACUGACGCUGAGGCGCGAAAGCGUGGGGAGCAAACAGGAUUAGAUACCCUGGUAGUCCACGCCGUAAACGAUGAGUGCUAAGUGUUAGGGGGUUUCCGCCCCUUAGUGCUGCAGCUAACGCAUUAAGCACUCCGCCUGGGGAGUACGGCCGCAAAGGCUG
This 374-nucleotide ribosomal RNA is filed under the name uncultured organism. RNAcentral's name for it is "partial 16S ribosomal RNA". It matches the Rfam family "Bacterial small subunit ribosomal RNA", at positions 527 to 896 of the family's 1533-position model. The record is from RNAcentral.